GUGUCAGCCGCCGCGGUAAAACGUAGGAGACAAACGUUAUCCGGAGUUACUGGGCGUAAAGGGCGUGCAGGCGGUGGACUAAGUUCGGCGUGAAAGCGCCCGGCUAAACCGGGCGAGGUCGUCGGAGACUGGUCGACUAGAGGACGGUAGAGGCGGGUGGAAUUCCGGGUGUAGUGGUGAAAUGCGUAGAGAUCCGGAGGAACACCAGUGGCGAAGGCGACCCGCUGGGCCGUACCUGACGCUAAGACGCGACAGCAUGGGGAGCGAACGGGAUUAGAUACCCGCGUAGUCC
Molecule: ribosomal RNA, 292 nt
Filed under: uncultured bacterium
Lineage: Bacteria
Description: partial 16S ribosomal RNA
Rfam family: Bacterial small subunit ribosomal RNA
Source: RNAcentral